GACGAACGCUGGCGGCGUGCUUAACACAUGCAAGUCGAACGGAAAGGCCCUGCUUUUGUGGGGUGCUCGAGUGGCGAACGGGUGAGUAACACGUGAGUAACCUGCACUUGACUUUGGGAUAACUUCAGGAAACUGGGGCUAAUACCGGAUAGGAGCUCCUGCUGCAUGGUGGGGGUUGGAAAGUUUCGGCGGUUGGGGAUGGACUCGCGGCUUAUCAGCUUGUUGGUGGGGUAGUGGCUUACCAAGGCUUUGACGGGUAGCCGGCCUGAGAGGGUGACCGGCCACAUUGGGACUGAGAUACGGCCCAGACUCCUACGGGAGGCAGCAGUGGGGAAUAUUGCACAAUGGGCGGAAGCCUGAUGCAGCAGCGCCGCGUGCGGGAUGACGGCCUUCGGGUUGUAAACCGCUUUCGCCUGUGACGAAGCGUGAGUGACGGUAAUGGGUAAAGAAGCACCGGCUAACUACGUG
RNAcentral lists this ribosomal RNA (468 nucleotides) under uncultured bacterium. Its description in RNAcentral is "partial 16S ribosomal RNA". It matches the Rfam family "Bacterial small subunit ribosomal RNA", at positions 28 to 507 of the family's 1533-position model. The record is from RNAcentral.